Pipra filicauda (Wire-tailed manakin) is the source of this 3931-nucleotide long non-coding RNA. RefSeq lists it as uncharacterized. Lineage: Eukaryota; Metazoa; Chordata; Aves; Passeriformes; Pipridae. The record is from RefSeq and is a predicted model, not a curated record. The transcript is spliced from 6 exons.
CGUAUAAAGAAGAAGGGAGGGGAGGCCUUCACUCUCUUCCCUCCCGGUGGCUCUGAAGGUGCAGGUUCCCCGCCGUUGGUUCUGCUGUGUGAGGGAGUGAGGCCGAGUGAGGCCUUGUAGACCUUGGGAGGCAGAGGCUGCCAGCGGUCCUUCAGCGCGACUUCUGCUGUCCCAAGGAGAGUAACUGAAUCGCUGUGGCUUACCAGGAGACACCAGGUGUGAUGGUCCCUAUGCAAAUAUGCACAGACAUUCAGUAUGCAGGUAAAAUCAUCAUCUUCAGGGAAAAUUCAGGUGGAAGCACGUUACCACCCAACAGGCUUUUAAGCACAGAAGCAGAAUCCUACUGGAGAAGUUUGCACUAUGAAAACAGUUACAAUAUUAAAUUACUCACAGGCAGGUAAAAGCCAUCACAUCUACAGAUGUGGACAAAGGGUUUCCAGUGAAAUUCUGCCUUCUUACACAGAUCACGAAAUGAGGACCUCAUAAAUCAAAAUAAUACCAUGAAGAGCAGUAUUUCUUAAUGAACAACAAUUAUGUGAUAGGAAGAAUGGUCAACUUUUUGGAAAACUUUAUUAUUAAAAAGCCUGAAACCUUCUUCAAAAGAACAAUUUUCCUCUGUUUGUAUUGGCCUGCUGAUACAACAUCCCAUGAAGUUCAUGAAGCUCACUGCUAGACAAGAACAGUACUUUCUCUUACCCAUCCUGAACUGCUCUGAUAGUUUUCUCAUGCGACCCUUGGCUGUACCACUGUGGGAUUUGAUCACCAGCAGUUCAGCAUUCAUCACUGCCCUUGUGGUUUUUGAUUUGAUCACCAGCAGUUCAGCAUUCAUCACUGCCCUUGUGGUUUUUGAGCCUCAGCCACAUGGCUUCUUCUAAGGACUCUCCCCUCUAAAAUGAGCACUCUAUUCCUUUCCUCAAAACAUAGCUCUCCCAAGCUUUUAACCAAUUUAGCUGUCCUUCUCUACCUGCUUUACCUCUGCUACAUGUUUCUUUCGGUCACAGGCAACACAAAGUCAUGCUAGCAGACCCAGGACCUGGGUGAGGGUCAGCAGACAGGCAGUAUGUUUGCAGAACAGCAGCAAGCUGGGAGGAAGCAACAUGGGGUCACUUGAAACAUGCUACAUUACAUCCCUUCCAAACACCAGACUGCCAAGACCAAAGGAAGGGGAACUUCCACUUAAAGAAAUAUGCAUAUUUGCCUAUUUUAUUAUAUAAAAUAAACGUAUGGAUGGGCUAUAGAGGUUUCCCAUCCUUUCCCAAUGAGUUCCAAAUGCUAGACUCUCUCAGUUUGCUAUCAUCUGUGACAUCCAAAGUUAGUAAGACAAAUUCAUCAGGGGCAAAAAAGAUGAGUCCCAUAGUACAUUUUCUGAUACUGCACUCUCAAGUCUCAGCUUACCCUUCUUUAUGGGAGGCUCUAAAGGUAUAAUACAGUAAUAUGAACUUUUCCAAAAAAUUAGAAAUUAAAUUGACUAGCACAAAAUCAUUUGCAAAUCAUUCAAAUGCAUUUGUAAUACCUAGUUUGAAAUUCAUGCUGCAUUACUCAGUCACCCAGCUUAUUCAUACGGGAGUAAUGAAACUGUUAUCUGACUUGCAUAUUAACUAGUCAGUACAAAUCAAAGUAUACAUCUGACUUUCACCUAACAGUUUUUGAUUGAGCUGCAAGUUUCAAGAUUAUGACCAAUUUAAGAGGAAGGUGAUUUGCAAAACUAGCCACCAGAGCCCUACUUGUAAACUUUUAUAGUGUGCAUGUAAUUAAAAAUUUGCUUCCAGCUUUGAGCAUUCAUGCUUAAAAAAUAUGUUUUCCACUCCUCUUAUUACAAAAAAAAAAAAAGGCAUUUUUGGACAAAGGUUGUUACAGUCAAGUUAAGACCAGCCUUCAAUUCAAAAUCCACUGGGCAUAUUGUAAUAAAUCUGAAGUAUAAUUGAAAUAUGGGUUUCUUUUAGAACUUAAGUUUCAUACUUAAUUUGAAGUAGAGUAUUCCUCUAUGUUGACUACCACACAAAGAAACAGGAAUAAAUUUGAAGUAAGCUGAAAGAAUGAUAAAUUUUUAUGUUUUUUAUCAAAUUUGGAACUUUCGUUGGUCAGAUAUACUGACUUUCUAAACAACAUCCAGCUGUUAUAUGACAGACAGCUUACUUUUACCUGUUACUGUCACCUAGAGACAACAGUCAGGCAUGCAGGGCAUUUUCUGAAUGUGUCUUAAUGGCAGUGUGUGAUUCAAAGAAGAGUAUACAAGAGAAAUUGUAAAUAUAUACAAAUAAUGAAAAAACAUUUAAGUUUUGUACAUUUUUGACUGUUAGAAGAUUUUAGAAGUUCCUAAAAUGACAACACAAAUGCAAAACAACUACUGAGUCACCUUCUUAAAAGGCUAGUAGAUCUGUAUUUUGGUAUUGCAGACUGUACCACUGUAUUCCAAAUAUUUGUUUUCCUCUACUUCCAUCUAAUAAAACUCAUUUCAAUCCAAAACACAUGAUGAAUUUGGGAGGGGAAAAAAAAGAAUACGUUAUGAGAUCUCAGUGUAUCAGUUCCAAAUAUAUGGUUUACAGGACACCAUUUUGCUUGCAAGAUCUUCUGAUAGUCUCAACUACAGGAAAUUAAAUGGCAGAAAACAAAGCAUUUCCCAGAGUGUUAGUGGCUCAGCAUUGCAGCCUGUGAAACAAAGCAACAUAAGAACAAUAUUGCAGGGAGUAUUAACUCAUACACUCACUGGGCAUCUAGUAUGUGUGAUCAGGUAAAGAAAAAAUUUCCAGCUAUAAGUCUUUCGUUAAUGUUUUGCUGUUCUAAUUCAGAACCUUUUGGUACUUUCUCACUUUGCAAUGAAAAAGGAAACCACUGUUAAUAACAGUGAAGAGGCUUUACUUGUGAAAGAUGAGCCGGGAUAUUGCCUGAAACAAUGACUGACAAAACAGAUGUCAAAUGUAACAUUAUUUGCAUCAAAGGCAUUAUCAAAGAUCCCUCUUACUUUUCUAAUUCUUUCUUUUGUUCUGCAUGUCAUCUUUAAUAGACUGAAAGUCAUGCUUCAUCCUUUGUGGUGGAGGGCACAGGAACAGACGCGAAAGACACAACACUUCGGAACAGGGAGAAAUAAGUGGUCCUGUGUUUUAAUAACAAAAACCCAGAGCAAUCACCUACAAAGAAUACAUUAAUGAUAUUUGAAAUUUCAACCCACAAUUGUAACUGGGCUUCUAUGUCAAAACUGGUCACAAAGUUAGGUUUUAUUCUACAAUAUGACUAUGAAUAAAUGCCAUACUUGCCAUAGAGGAAGUGACUCUAGUAUCUAGACUCAGGCUCUGUCUGCUAUUGGAGCCUGCAUGGUACAUAAGUAACAGACAACAGUGGUAAGGGCCUUGUUUCUGCUCUACUCCAUAUUUAACAAAGAGGUACAGAAUGUUACCUUCACUUUGGAACUAGGCAUUUUUGUAGGUAUUAGUCAAUCAGCUAGUUAUGAUAUUAGCAUGGACUUAUACAAAAAAUAAGGAGAAAAGUUUACCUUAAAUGAAUUGCAGAAUCCAGGGCACCAGAGGAAACCAACUCUAAAUAAAGAAUUUGUCUGUGCUAAUAUAAACACUGAAGUGCAUAACCUAUUCGUUAAAGCUUUAGGAGCCUUUGUGAGAGAGGGCUAGGGCUCAAAACACAACUUUUGACAGAUUGGGCACUUGCAAUGUAAGCAGAGACCAAGUAGCUUCUGAGCAGCAAGGAAACAGAGCUAUGGCUUAGAGGUUAUGGAGAAGAGAUUUUUCUGGAGAUCUGAGUUGCAUUUAUUCUUUCUUUCAGAAAUUGCCAGACAUAUCACAAAUCUUAGAGAAGGGAUACAUUGAAGGCAGCUUAUAUAAAACUUCUUUGUAUUUUACUGUCUUGCCCUGAAGAAAUGCAUUUUCUGCAUUUUCAGUUUUAUCUUAGUUUUUGUUCAAAUAAAACCCGGCUUUAGAGA